Molecule: non-coding RNA, 1259 nt
Organism: Microcebus murinus (gray mouse lemur)
Lineage: Eukaryota; Metazoa; Chordata; Mammalia; Primates; Cheirogaleidae
Source: RefSeq, a predicted model, not a curated record
GAGAAGAGCGAAGGAGCCCCCUGCUGGCCAGAUGCGGCAGGCGCGGCGACCCGCGCCCUGGUCCCUACGCCCCGCGGGUGCGGCCCAGCCCCGACCCACCUCCACCCUCCCUGCGCCCCCGGCGCUGGGCGCCCGUGAAAGGAAGCAGAAAACAAAACAAAAACAAACAAAGCGCCAAAACCCACUCUCACUUCAUCUCCUGCUCAAAGGGAAUGAACAGAAUAUGAGUGAUGAAUAUACUAAAAUAGGACUUACAAUAACCGGACUCAUUUUCCUAAAUUUAGAUUGUCCUACACAUCUCCUGGGUGGAAGCAGUUAAUUUCUGGCAGCCAUUAUUUUGCUGUACAUCUGGAGGUGUGGCUUUUUCAGCUCAUUACAGUCCUUCCUUCCCCUGAGUUGGGAACUUGAAUAAUUUCUUUCCUCAUUUAUAUUAUGGCCUGGAAGGCUAGUGAGUGGCCAUCAUUCCUCAACAACUCAGCAGCCUGCAAAUCAAAAUCCUGCUUCUGAGAAGAGUUGCCAGUGCCAUGUUUAAAAGACCCAUCUUAACAGGAAAAGUUACAAAGCCAAUUGUCUUUCUGUAUACCUGAGGGAUUUGUUCCAGGACGCUCCUUGUAUACAAAAUCUCAAGUUCCACAGUCAGCCCUGUAGAACCCGUGUGUAUGAAAAAUGUGGCCCUCGGUAUACUCGGGUUUGACAUCCCUUAUUUCUGAAGAAAACAACCAUCAACCAUGCUUUUGCCCAGCAAGCUUAACAACACAACCCUUGGCAUCCAAUCCCUGAUCUACCAUUUGGCCUUGGGCUCUUCAUGGCAGAGAUGCUGAAAGACAACACAUUCCAAACUAAAAGCUGGCUUCCUCAGCUAAGGCAAGUGUUAUCCCCGAGGUCAAGGACUGUCGGAAUCAAUAGCACACCAUUCUAUAUGGUAAAAUUUAAAUGAUAAACAAAAUUAAUAAAUCCCUUCAAGACUGAUGAAGAAAAAGUUGAGAGGAGACACAGAAGCUAAUAUUAGUAAUGAUAGAGGGACAUCACUACCUAAGAUCAUUAGAGGAUAUUAUGAACAACUAUGUAAAAGUAAAUAUAUAGUAUUUGGUAAAGUGGACAGACAUCUGAUUCUGGUCAAAGGAUCAGGAUUUACUCUCUCACCUUAAAAAAACUGGAAAAUCAGACAAAAUCAGUAAAAUGAUAAUUUGCAGUAAUUAAAAAGCAGACCACACCAUACCAUGAUUUUUUUUAAUUUUUUUUUUUAAAUUUCAGCAUAU